Non-coding RNA from Physcomitrium patens, 2817 nucleotides. NCBI's taxonomy places the organism in Eukaryota, Viridiplantae, Streptophyta, Bryopsida, Funariales, Funariaceae. The record is from RefSeq and is a predicted model, not a curated record.
CCACUGCACAUCUUCCGGAGGCAUUGUCCACUCCCAAUUCUCCAUUUGGAGGGAAGGGUCCCACUUGGGAUAUCCACUAAUCAGGUCCCUUGUAAAGAUUACGCCGCGUCUCCCUCUGCAACGGAAGCGGCCUUGCAGGGAACGAACUCACACAGUAGAUAGUUUCUGAAAGCUUUGAUUGUGUGGUUCAUCACAGAAUCUGAGGUUUUUGUCACAUUGUAUAGUGAGAGCGGAAUAUUUUUCAGUAGUAAUGAUGUAAAUAUUUACAGUGUGGAAGAAACAAAAGUCUGCUAGUGUAGUAGGAAUGAUCCUUUCGAAUGAAUCACAAUCUAUGAUUAGCACUAAUGAGCCCUUGGUUACGACGGACGCUCAUUGUAAGGGAAGUCAGUUCAUGCUCUAUCCACAGCCACGUCGAAGUUCCAUGUGACUCUCGCUCUCUCUCGCCGUGGACUCUAAAUGGAGUUUGCUUAACGAGGCGGAGUGAAGUUCGAUUGGGGUCGGGGAAACGGCGGUGGGCCACCACGAUUCUGUCGAGGUGGGUCGUGAGGUGGUGCUUCGCAGGUGAUGAAAAGUAAUGGAAGGUAGGAAGGGAAUGUGAGCAGCAUGACUUUGAGCAGUUUUGCUCGAGAAUGCGGUGGUCCAUGUAACGAUGAGUGUGUUUGGAGUUGUGCUGAAGGGAAGCGAUUUGAGCCAACUCGCGAUCAUGUUUCUCCAGAUUGCUCGGGUUGGUUCGGCCGCUGCGCAGCUUGUCUCUAACUGUGGAGCCCGGUACCGCAUCGAUGGGAGAUCGGAGAUACUAGCUGUUCAAUUGCUCCGCCCCUCUUGCAAGGCAGCACUUAAGAGGGUGGACUCGGCGGAGGUGGGUCUAACAAUGAGGGGAAUGUAAUAAGGGGCUGAGAAGGCAGCAGAAGCGUUCGUCCUCUGCGCAGUCCCCAGCCCUUGAAAAUGCUUGCGGCCAGAAACAUCACUGCAGCUCCCCUGGUCCCCGGUCACAUCCGCCGCUCUGUCCUGGUUCCACCCAAGCCAAGCUUACUCGGCUUCUCUGCUGCUCUCGUAACCCUCUCCAGCACACUUUCCAUCCAUAUCUCCAGCAAUCCGGAGGUCCAAUAAUAGUGGCUACCUGUUCCCGCCCACCUUUCGCGCUUGGCCACAACCGCCGGCCUAGCAUACCUGGAACUCGCGCCUGCGCCAGUGGGUACCUAGCUCGUAGAUCUCUCCUUGGAUCUGACCCCACUGGAUCUCACCAAUGGAUAAAGCUCGGAUUCUUGUUGGAAUAGACGAGAGAUUUCCUCACUACGUAAUUUGUAGGAGUGAAAAUUAAACUUCGAUAAUGUUAUUUUACUAAGAUUAAUCUCCGAAACUUGACCAUUGUGCUGUGAAAAUAGUAGCAAGAGCAUAGGAGAUGUGGUGCAUGGACGUAGCGAACUUGCGAUUUCCGAAAAUUACUGUGCACAAUUGGUCCCAUGUUUUGCGCGGAGGAAAGCAAGAAAUUGGCAACCUGGUGGAAACGCGUCCUGACUGAACCCGUUUUUUCGUCAACGAAGUUUGGAGAUUGCUCCUCGAAAAAAAUCGAAGGAAAAUGUAAUUGAAGACGAAACCGAGAAACUGGAAAAAGUCGGAGGAGGGAACCCUGGAAGCUCCGGAAGCCCCGGUUCGCGCGUAGUGGGGAUGCAAUAUCCAACGACCCAAUCGCGAAAGAGAAAAAGAGAAGUCCGCAAUUUUAAAAGCUUCGUAAAAGAUCUAGCCUUUUUCAGCUAGGGUUUGCGCAAGGGAAGCAAUUAUCUGCGUUGCUGCGUAUCAUUGGCGAAGACGGAUCCCCAGCUCUCGCAUGUCGGAGGUACUUGUGAGAUUUUAAACUCUCAACGAUUCCGGAGGUCUGAGGGUUGGAAUCGACAGUUUAGGCUUUUUCAGGGGGUCCGCUGCAUGCAAGUUGCGAGGCUGGUGGGCGAGAUGGUGAAGUGCGACCUAGUAAUGGCGUGUAACCUCCAGCCUCGCGGGAUCAGGUUCGCGUCACCUGGAGAUGGGAUUAGCAGAUUAUCUAUCGAUGUGAUUACAAGACAAUCGUGAAAACCGAAGAAAAGAAGCUUCUUGAAUGAUUGAGAGGAUGAAGGCUUACAGUAGGUGAGUGCGCGGAGCGUCGAUCGAAUCUCGAUCUCGCGCACAACGAUUUCACAGAACGCUGCUCGACAUGGCUCAAAGAAGGAAGACGACGAAAUGAAGCUGCGAACAUGACACGACAGUCUAGUCUAACAUACAUCUGCUCGGUACUUGUUCUGCAAACUCCCUGAACUUUGCACCCACUUCGACGGUGCACAAAUGUGGUCUAAACCUGCACGAUUAGACCACAUCAGUGUCUAACCUGCAGGAUUAUCUUAAAGCUAAGCCGAUCUUCUAGUGCUAGAACUGCUUUAGGUGACUUUGAGUUCACUCUAGCGCUCGGAGCAAUUCCGCAGUUACUGAGCUGAAGCAGCCAACAUGUCGCUGUUCGGCAUCGUUGUGCUGAGCACGGUGGCUACAAAUCCAAUCGUCUCCUCCAAGUUCGUUUGUUCGAAACUGGUGUCAACUUGUAAUCUUCGGUGAAUUCUCGACAAGAAACUAUUGUCUUUUCAGUUGCAUCCGUACCCCACACAGUAGAUGUUGAUGAUGAUAAUACUAAACUGCACAUGUUGUAAGAACCAUGCAUCGGCAAAUGGGUCAUGUGGGGCUUUCUAUAUUUUCUCCAUCAGAUCAGCUACGGCAACUGCUGGUCGGAGAUUCUCUACUACUACGACUACUGUUGAACAGGAUCUGAUGUGAAUACAGACAAAUAUUUUUUUA